This 77-nucleotide transfer RNA is filed under the name Staphylococcus aureus. Its description in RNAcentral is "tRNA-Sec". The record is from RNAcentral. Lineage: Bacteria; Bacillati; Bacillota; Bacilli; Caryophanales; Staphylococcaceae.
GGGGGUGUGGCCCAGCGGGCUAGGGCGUCCGUUUCAUCCCGGGGGGGGGGGGGUUUCGCCCCCCCCCACCGCCACUA